This 67-nucleotide transfer RNA is filed under the name Neilupotamon xinganense. Its description in RNAcentral is "tRNA-Gly". Lineage: Eukaryota; Metazoa; Arthropoda; Malacostraca; Decapoda; Potamidae. The record is from RNAcentral.
AUUUUUUUAGUAUAUAAAUAAAGUACAUUUGACUUCCAAUCAAAAAGUCUAAACUUUAGAAAAAAUA